UACGUAGGGGGCAAGCGUUGUCCGGAAUCAUUGGGCGUAAAGAGCGUGUAGGCGGCUCGGUAAGUCCGCUGUGAAAGUCCAGGGCUCAACCCUGGAAUGCCGGUGGAAACUGUCGAGCUAGAGUCCGGAAGAGGCGAGUGGAAUUCCUGGUGUAGCGGUGAAAUGCGCAGAUAUCAGGAGGAACACCAAUGUCGAAGGCAGCUCGCUGGGACGGUACUGACGCUGAGACGCGAAAGCGUGGGGAGCAAACAGG
RNAcentral lists this ribosomal RNA (253 nucleotides) under uncultured bacterium. Its description in RNAcentral is "partial 16S ribosomal RNA". It matches the Rfam family "Bacterial small subunit ribosomal RNA", at positions 524 to 776 of the family's 1533-position model. The record is from RNAcentral.